GGCUUGUUUUGCCUUUAUUAGUUGGAAUGCUUUCAUGGAUGUAAUCAGAAGUAAUAAAAGAAGAAAUGCAAAUUCUUAUAAACUAAUGGAAGUCUUAAAAGAAGAAAUGCAAAUUCUUAUAAACUAAUGGAAGUCUUACGUAGGAAUGGAUGGACAUACUAAACUUUGAACUUAUCAUCAAUAUAAAAAUAGAUAAUUUUACAGAAGGCUUGCAGCGGAUUCUAAUGUUACAGGGAUAGAUAAAAUGAUUUUUUCCCCAGAGUCAGAAUUCUAGAAAAUCUCAAGUGGAGUACAGACAAGUUCAUAGGAAAAAGUGAUUCAAUGGUCCAUUUGAAAGUGUUAAUCAACAUCUUCAGGUCGUGGGGACUCACUGAAGAUCAGAUGGGGCAAGCAUUCUUGCUACCUCUCUCAGGCCUAGGCCUAGAUCUUCGUUGGCUCACUCAGUUGGAUCAGGCCCAAACUCAGACGUGGGCAACAAUCAUGAAGUGUUUCACAAAGCACUACUAUUACAACAUUGAGGAAAUUAAUUAAUUUAAGCUAAAAAAGUGCAUGUUAAUUAUGUAUUGCCCUAGCUAUGUGAAUGUGAUGCAUGCUUGAAAUUUUGACUUAAAUAAGUUCUUCCCAUGUUUACUCACCUUAGGAAGCAUUAUAUGCUUGUAGAAUUCAGAAUGCAAUUUUUUAUGUCAUACAUUUUUUAAUGUCAUCUUUAAUGCACAUUCAACAUUGUUACCUAGUGCUUUCUCUUAUUUUUCCAGAAAUACAUUUUCUAAUGUGUCUAUCCAAUAUAAUUCUUGUUGUUGUCCCUCCCAAAAACAAUGGUUUUGGGAGUAUAGUUUACAGUAAGUUCCAAAUGACUCUUAUCAUGUGUUAAAUUUGUUGAUUUUUUUUUCUACAAUUAUUUGAGUAGUCUAGCUAUCUAGCUAGCUGAUUUUAGGAUUUAGGUAGGCCAUUAUAGUUUAUAGCAGGAAGCUUGGGCAAUGGUUAGUAUCUGCUCCAGAUUUUGGCUAUUCAAGGUCAUUUUGUAUCACAAUUCCCCAAUUAUUUGGUUACAGUUCUGUUUUUGUCGAGUAUAAAGUUGUAGAUUAUGGUUGUUGAACUGUUUUAAAAUUUCUGAACAUGUUUUCUUUUCUAAGAAAAAAAAACUUAUGGUUUCGACUUAAAAAUACCUCACAGGACCAUUUAGAAGCAGCGACUUUUAGAUCUAUGAGUUGAUAAAAUGACAAUUGUAAUAGGAAAUGAUCAGCCUAUAGGUAGUUUUGGCAAGAAUGGUUUGGACUUAGAAAGUGAUGAUACCCAAUAUUUUUGUGUGUGAUGAUGUAGAGCCUUGUCAUCAUUCUUUUAUUGACUAAAACUUUGAGGAUCUUAAGGAAAUGAUAGCUUUUAUGUCCACCUAGUGUAGCCAAGGGCGUAUUUGACCAAUGUUGUUUCUUCAUCUAGGAAACACGGAAAGAAUCCUCAUGUGGAUGAGGAACUAGUGGAUAUGUUGGGCAUGAUGGCAUCAAAGAUUAAAAAACUAGCUGAUGCAUUGAUUCAAGGAGAGGAAUCUGCUUCUGCAUUUUUUUGAUAAGACUCUACAGAGAGGUGAUGAAGGUAGAUGGCUUCAAUUCUAACAUCUUAGAUGAUGUUUUCAAGGUCUUAAACAACAACGAAAAGUUGGCUAAAGCCUUUCUCUCUAGGGAUGAUAAUAGGAGACGUAGGAUAAUUGGGAAGUGGUAGAUAGGAACUUGAUGUAGGAGGAUAUAAUCAUUCAAGUUGAGUUUCUGAAGCCGUCCAAAGAUUUUUCUUCUUUUACUUCUAUAAAAUUUGUUAUUCUUUUUCUUGUUGAUUAGUCCAAUUAUCUUAGUUCCAUGUGUCCCUGCUAUAGGUUAACUGGAUUUGGCAUUUUAAGCAAUAUUGUCAUACUCUUAACAGAGAACAAAUAUGUCUUUUUUGUUAAAUAUAUGAGCACCAAACUUGUUGGCCAACUAGUAGUAAGAAUUGGGAUUAUGCGAAGCAGUGGUUGGAAUUUUGUGAGGGGAUAUAGAGUUGGCACAAGGCCAAAAGUUUCCAAAUGUGUGCCGUGUAGUAGAAACUAUAUAGUAUCUGCUUCAUGUAAUUUUGUUUGGUAACUCAUACUGCUUAUUUUAACUUUAUAUUAAUUUGCAUUGUCAAGCCGCGACCCCAUUUAGUUGGGAAAAUGCUUAGUUGUUGUGUUAAGUUGCAUUGUUAAUUGGGCCUGUACCAUAAAACCAUGCAGGUUCGAGGGGUUCCUCUUAUGUGUCUGAACUAAAGUGCUGGAUAUUCUAGUAUCAAUAUUAGUAUUGCUGUUUUUUUCGUUCCUUUUGCCUUUCUUUUCCUAUUGAAGUAUAUGUUAGGUUACUUCAAAAGCAUAAAAUGUUUUUGUGAUUGGUGGAUGUUUUGUAACUUUCUUGUUCUUUGUCUCUGUCAGUAGGGUUGGUAUAAAUCUAUUUUUACAAAGCUGAAACUAUUUUAUUUGCUUAGAACACUAUACUGUUGAGGAAACCUAGAAAGGGCUUUCUGGUUGUUUCUCAAUUUGUUUUCUGGAAAAUAACUCAUUUGUGUGUUUUAAGGAUGUAGGCCAAUUUCAGAACUUCCAUGUAUCAAUAAAGUUGAGAAAUGUCUCUGGAAUUUUGAGUUUCUUUAGAACUUAAUAUCAAUAAUUAAUUGCAGAGUGAUUCUUUUCUUCAACUUGAACCUCCUGCGAAUAUGGUGAGUUUGGACAUCUUUGUUCGGUUGUUCUGUUUUCCAAUGUUAAAUUAUGUUUCCUUUUUCCCCCCCUCCUUUUCAAAGUUUGCUGGUUGAGUCAAUAGGUUAUUAUUGAUAUUAGAAGAUAAGGCAUGUGCAAGAGAUGAGAAAAGAAAAGGAAUGAAGUUCUCCAAGGUGAUUUGGUGUUCGAUUAUUUAGUGCUCCAUUUGACAAUUUUUCCCUCAUUGAUCAAUUUGUGAUCAUCAAUUCAAGAAAUCGUUGUUGGCAACAAAUAAGAUAGAUUGAUUUGAAUUCAUCUAAUGAGCUUUAAUAUCUCCCUCUAAUGGUUUCAAGGUCUUUUAAUCUUGUGGGAGAUGAUAGAGGUGUGUAUAUAUAUAUAUAUAUAUAUGGUGCAAGUACAUGCCUAGACACAGUGGGUGCGGAAAGACUGUGUUGCCCCCAUAUUGUAGUUGCUCCCGCAUGCCCUCCCAUUGGCCCGUGCACUAAUGUGUACCUACGGUAGCAGGAUAGCAUUUUGUCGUUCUCUUGCCCUAUAUAGGGCAAAGGAAUCUUGUGCUUUAGCGUGGCUCCUGCACCGAUGUUAGGGGUGUCAAUAACUAAAUCAGACCGAUGAAAUCAGCCCGGACCGAGCCGAUUGAAUCCGAAUCAAACCGAAUUGAUGCCUUAUUGGGCCGGUUUCGGUUUGUACUUCAAAUCCAAUUCGGUUUUGAUUUGGUUUGGGCUAGACCGUUGGGCCACCGGUAAAGCCGGCAAUGUGAACCGAACCCCCAAUCGAUCCAAACCGACCCGACAUAAACCGAACCUAAAACUGACUCACUAACUUACGCUACUAACGGACUAACUCACUAACCCAACCACUGAACCACUUAACUAACCAAGUGAGCCAACCCAACAUGGACAAGACCCAAAUUGCCAAGUAUAUGUACUUAUUUUUCUUUCCAUGCGUUUAGAAGCCCUAAUUUUUUUUCUAAUCCUAAGUUGAAACUUGAAAGCGAAGAGUGAAGACUGAAAAGGCUGCUAAGCUGCUGAAGAUCUUUGCUGGCAAUCUAGCGGCCAGCGCAUCUCAGGCUACCAAGAUGACCUCAUCGCUAGCCUCUCACUCUCCUACCGAAGUGUUUCACUGCUUCACAAGCAUUAUUAGGACGGUCUGGAAGUGCUUCAGCUUCAAGGUUGUGAGGUUCAAAUUUCAAUUUAGAACGUCUUCUCUCCCAUAGGAUCUAUGCAUACUGAAGUACUUCUGUGCUGCCAGAAUUUUUUUCCUACCUCCAUGUUAGGGUUUCCCAGUUCCAGGUACAACUGUUUCCUUUUCCUUAUUUGCAAGUAUUUGUUCAAUCAUUUUCAACUGUUUCUCUUUAUUUCCAUCCUUGAAUCUCUCUUCCCUACUAAUCUCUUUAUUUCUUUGGCCGGAGUUCGAUGUUCUAUUUAGCUAUUUGGCUAUUCAUCUUUAGGUUUCUGUAUGGACUUUAGGUAAUGGAUGGGUGGCCAUAUUAUAAUCUUUGCUGUAUUUACCUGGGAACCUAUUAUGUUAAGAGUCUUAACGCUUUAAGCCUAUCAAGUUACUGCUCAAUCCAGAGAGAAGCUGAUAUCUUUGGUAGAACUCGCAGGGGACAACAUUGCCAAGUUCAGUGUAUAUCUUUUCCUGUAUAAUUCAUCUAGGUGGCAGAGAUAAACCUUUUCUUUACACAAUCACACCCUUAUUAUAGGGCCCCUUAGGAGAACCUGUAGCAUGCAUAAACAAAAUUAGACCUUACAAAUUAGUGAAAUUACAAUAUAAGAGAAAAUUUCUUUUUCCUAUAUGACUGUGACAUAUUGGCAAUUUGAGUGUAUACAAUUAAAUCCAAGUGGGUUAGUAAGUAGAGUUUACAAAUGUUAGGACUUUGUGUAAUUUCAUGGGUGUUUAAAAGUGUAUAACAGUGACCUAAAGGUCCUUUUUCUAUCUAGAACAGAUUCUAUUACUACUUUGAGUGAGAUUCAAGUGUCAUUUAUAAAGGAAAACAACACUGUGGUAUUGGAGAUUAAGGUCUUGAUUAAAAAUUCAUAUAACCUGUUCACUUAAAGAGUUCCUUUUUGAAUUUGUAAUGCUGGAUGGGUUUGUAUUAUAUAGGGCUAUUUUAAGAGUAAUUGAUUAAGAUUUAUGGAGGAUCUGUUAAUUAGGACAUGUUCUUAUUUGCUUCAACUUCAAACUAAGAGAGGAAAAGAUGGAAGUCUAUGGGUCCAACAGAAAGUAGGUUAGGCCAACAAGUGAGGCAAAGAGCUAGGGACAAUAUGCUUACUUGUGUGUUUGUGACUCUCUCUCUCUCUAGCCAGCUUAUGGUUGAAGCAAGUUAAAUAGGAAAAUUAAUAAUCCUUAGUAGGGAGCUUUUUAGAGAGAGAGGGAGGUAAGUGUAUAGUUCUUUUUAUUCCUUUGAAAUUGAAUGAUGAUACUGGAUUUUUUGUUGGGAUUUGUACAAGCCACAAUUUGUGUUUUGUUGGGCCAUGUCUCAUACAUUUUACUUUACAUUUCAAUAAUGGGUCAUUUGUAUCAGUUUUUCAUAGAUUUUUAAUUUAAACUAAUGGAUGUUUAAUUAAUAAUUUCUUGUAUUUUCCUCUGAAUCUGUUGUCUUGUUAUUAGUAUUAGUUUUCUAUGGUUAUUAUUAAUUAAUAUGUUAUAUGUGUUCUUAUUAAUUAGGGAAAUGUCCAUCAAUAUAGAAGAUGAGCCCGAUUGUGGGUUAGAUGUUGAUGUUAUGUAUGAUGAUGAACCAUAUAUUCCUGGAAUUCCAUCGACAAAACAUUCAGUCAUAACAAUUGUAGCAAACGAAAUUACCAAGAAGAAAAGGAGUUUCGUUUAGGAUGAGUUUAAGAUCCUUGAUGGGAAGGGUUUUGCUGAUAGGAGGAAUUGAGCUGAAUAGAAAGAUGUAACCAAGUCUAUAAGGAUGAUAGUAAUGUUAAUGGAACUGGAAGCCUUAGGAGAUAUAUUCUGUUGGUGUACGAUGUCUUGUAUUCCGUCAUAGUUUAAUUCAGGGAGUAUUGGUGCAGGUGCCUCGAUAGGUAGGACGGCGGUUCCGCAGGCCGAUUAGCUGGCUGUGGGGCUUGCAAGGGGGUAGGAGGCCCCCCUGCAUAGUGGGGGUGUAGUGGUGCAGCCCAUGCUCGAUAUAUAUAUAUAUAUAUAUAUAUUUUUUUUUAGGGCAGUUUUGUACUUUUCAGAUUAAGGUUUUUCGCAUAUUUAUAGUGAGGUUUUUCUUUCUCUGUAAUGCAAGCAAUACUAGGAGGUGUGAGGACGAGCGCUGUAACCCUAUUGUCCAUUGAUAGUGAAGUAGGAUCUCAUCUCACCGAGGAUGUAGGCAAUCUUGCCGAACCUUGUAAACUUGUUUGGAUUGUUUGUUCUUGUUUUUCCAUUAUCUUCUGCAUCGUUUUAGGGUUGUGUUUCUAUAAUAUUCUACAUUGCCAAAAUGGGAAAAACAAAGGAAACACAAACACCCAAAUGAUUUUGGAUGUAAAUGAAGGGAAAGUGAUAUUAAGAGACAAAAAGGUUGACUAAGACUUUAUUUGUGACAAAGUUACGAAGUUUAUUGUGAGACAUGACCUUUAGUUUUUAUUGAGUAUGAGGAGUUCAGGGAGUUAAUUACAUAAUUUUUUUUGGACUACACCCAUAUUACUCGAAACACGCAAAUGUUAGAUAUUUUGAGGUUUUACAAUUUGGAGUCUAUUAGAAUCAAUAUUUUACUUAAUUCUUUUGCUGAGAAGAUUUCUUUGACAAAUGAUUUGUGGACAUCCAUCACCAAUGAUGGAUACGCUGCUUUGACUGCCCAUUACGUUUAUAAGGAUUGGGUGUUGCAUAAAUUGAAGUUUUGCAUCAUGCUACCUCCACCCAUUGACAUCCAUAUCUGUGAAAUGGUUUAAAAAAUCUUGUCUGACUAGGAUAUUGAUCGGAUUUUGCUUUCAAUUACUUGGGAUAAUGCCAUAACUAAUUUUUGUUUUGUUGACUUGCUGAAGAAAAAUUUAAAUUUGAAGAAUACUCUUUUAUGUAGAGGAUUAUACUUUCAUAAUAGGUGUUGUGCACAUAUUUUCAAUCUUAUUGUACAUGAUGGACUAAAGCAUAUAGAUGACUAUAUGGUGUUGGUGCGAGCUUGUAUAACAUAUGUGAAAGGAUCACAAGCAAGGAAAGUAAAAUUCUUGGAAAUUUAGAAGCAAUUCGGAUUGCAAAGUAGUAAGAGCUUCCAUUUUGGUGUUUCUAAAAGGUGGAACUCAACCUAUCUCAUGCUUGAUUUUGCCUUAUUUUAUUAUAAAGUAUUUGAGAACCUUGGACUAGUGGAUGACAACUUUAAAACUUGUCAUAGUUUUGAUUAAUGGUUAAAAAUUGAGAGAUUGACGAGUGUUUUGUAUACCUUCUAUGCAAUUACUGUUUUGCUUUUUGGUUCCAAGUAUCCCACAACAAAUUUAUAUUUUGAAAAUGUUUGGGAGAUUCACAAAAGUUUAUUACAAGAGGUAUCAUGUGGGCUCAAUUUAUGAAGUCAAUGGCAAUGGAAGUGAUGAAAAAAUUUGACAAAUAUUGGAGUGAAUAUAGUCCAAUUUUGGCCAUUGCUUUGGUGUUUGAUUAUCGUCACAAACUUAGUUUUGUGACUUGGGGCAUUUUCUAAGCUUUCCAACCUGGACUUAAAUGCAUCUACUAUGUGCAACAAUGUGGAAUCUUCUCUGUAUCAAUUGUUUGAUGAGUACAAGAGUAUGCAACUAGUUGACUAUGAUGUUCCCACACUUGUUCAUUGUCCUAGGAAAUCAUAAACAAGAUUUGUAAGUAAGUUUACAUUCUGAUAGUAAUUUUGAUUUAUUUUUUAAAUACAAGUUUUCAUAUUCAUUGCUAAUCUUAUUAAUGAUUUAUAUUUCGGUUAUUUCCUAAUUUCUAUAGGAAUUUAUGGUAUCUGUGCUUGCUGAGGUGAACAAUGAAAGUAAAUCUCAAUUGGAUAUAUAUCUGGAUGUACUCAAGAUCUCAUUCAAUGAUAAUGAUGAUGAUGAGUAUGAUGUGUUGACACUUUGGAAAGCAAAUGGGUCAAGGUAUCCAGAUGUGAGAUUCACAAAAGUUUAUUACAAGAGGUAUAAUGUGGGCUCAAUUUUAUGAAGUCAAUGGCAGUGGAAGUGUAGAAAAAAUUUGACAAAUAUUGGAGUGAAUAUAGUCCAAUUUUGGCCAUUGCUUUGGUGUUUGAUCCUCAUCACAAACUUAGUUUUGUGACUUGGGCAUUUUUUAAGCUUUCCAACUUGGACUUAAAUGCAUUUACUAUGUACAACAAUGUGAGAUCUUCUUUGUAUCAAUUGUUUGAUGAGUACAAGAGUAUGCAACCAGUUGACUAUGAUGUUCCUACUCUUGUUCAUCGUCCUGGGAAAUCAUAAACAAGAUUUGUAAGUAAAUUUACAUUCUGGUAGUAAUUUUGAUUUAUUUUUUAAAUACAAGUUUUCAUAUUCAUUGCUAAUCUUAUUAAUGAUUUAUAUUUCGGUUAUUUCCUAAUUUCUAUAUGAAUUUAUGGUAUUUGUGCUUGCCGAGGUGGAUAAUGAAUGUAAAUCUCAAUUGGAUAUAUAUCUAGAUGAACUUAAGAUCCCAUUCCAUGAUAAUGAUGAUGACGAGUAUGAUGUGUUGACACUUUGGAAAGCAAAUGGGUCAAGGUAUCAAGAUGUGGCUCGAAUGGCUCGUGAUGUCUUGACUAUACUAGUUUUCACAAUUGCUUCGGAGUCGGCUUUUAGUGCAAGGUGCUGUGUUAUUGAAAAAUAUUAGAGCAAACUCCUACCUACCAACUCUAGAGCACUAAUAUGUUGGUAGCAUUAAUAUGCCUUCGGGAUUGGAUGUUUGAUAUAAACUUCAAAGCUGAGCCUUUUGAUGAUCCCGUUGACAUGGAUAAUGCAUUUGGAAAUGUGCUGGAACUAUUACAAAUUGAAAGGGGGAGAGGUGCAAUUGUUAGUUCUUCAGCUUGUCCUACUCCUAGAGAAGGAUAAGCUCAAUUUUAUUGAGCAGGUGUACCGUAGUUUGUACUUGCACGUAUUUUAUAAAACAUUUUUGUUAGUGUCAUUAUGUUGUCUUAAAUCUUCUUAACUUUUGGUUGCAGUUUUUUGGAAUAGUAGGAGUGUAGGACACAUUUGUGGUCUUAAGAUUAAUUACUCAACACAUCAUUUUUGGAGGACAAAGAGUUGUAAUAUUUUUAAGGGAACAUUGAAAUAUUUUGAGAAAGAAGAUGGUCAUUUGAUAUUUUAAUGUAAUAUUGAACACUCUAUUUGAAUGUUUUAGAUGGAUCUUUUAUGGUUGGUUUGACUAUUUGCAUUAGCUAUUGGCACACUUUAUCUCUAUUUUAGGUGGGUGAUUCUGUGAUUGAAUUAUUUUAGGUGGUCCGUGGUUGAUUGAACCAUUUGAAUAUUUGGUACUUUGAUAGUUAAGAUGACUCAUGUCUUGAUCAAUGUUUUGUGCUUAAUAAGUUAUUCGGUUUCUUUAUGUAUGGGAAUUCAUAUUCACUAUUGGAUACUUGUAUCCUUCAGAUCA
Macadamia integrifolia is the source of this 9202-nucleotide long non-coding RNA. RefSeq lists it as uncharacterized. The record is from RefSeq and is a predicted model, not a curated record. The transcript is spliced from 2 exons. NCBI's taxonomy places the organism in Eukaryota, Viridiplantae, Streptophyta, Magnoliopsida, Proteales, Proteaceae.